CCCUUAGAUGUUCUGGGCUGCACGCGCGCUACACUGACGGAGCCAACGAGUACUUUCCUUGUCCGGAAGGACUGGGUAAUCUUGUGAAACUUCGUCGUGCUGGGGAUAGAGCAUUGCAAUUAUUGCUCUUCAACGAGGAAUUCCUAGUAAGCGUGAGUCAUCAGCUCGCGUUGAUUACGUCCCUGCCCUUUGUACACACCGCCCGUCGCUACUACCGAUUGAAUGGCUUAGUGAGCCUUUGGGAUUGGCAGCUUGUACCGGCAACGGUAGCAGGCCGCUGAAAACUUAGGCAAACUUGGUCAUUUAGAGGAAGUAAAAGUCGUAACA
Molecule: ribosomal RNA, 327 nt
Filed under: uncultured eukaryote
Lineage: Eukaryota
Description: partial 18S ribosomal RNA
Rfam family: Eukaryotic small subunit ribosomal RNA
Source: RNAcentral